AGCUUGCUCCUGGAUUCAGCGGCGGACGGGUGAGUAAUGCCUAGGAAUCUGCCUGGUAGUGGGGGAUAACGUCCGGAAACGGGCGCUAAUACCGCAUACGUCCUGAGGGAGAAAGUGGGGGAUCUUCGGACCUCACGCUAUCAGAUGAGCCUAGGUCGGAUUAGCUAGUUGGUGGGGUAAAGGCCUACCAAGGCGACGAUCCGUAACUGGUCUGAGAGGAUGAUCAGUCACACUGGAACUGAGACACGGUCCAGACUCCUACGGGAGGCAGCAGUGGGGAAUAUUGGACAAUGGGCGAAAGCCUGAUCCAGCCAUGCCGCGUGUGUGAAGAAGGUCUUCGGAUUGUAAAGCACUUUAAGUUGGGAGGAAGGGCAGUAAGUUAAUACCUUGCUGUUUUGACGUUACCAACAGAAUAAGCACCGGCUAACUUCGUGCCAGCAGCCGCGGUAAUACGAAGGGUGCAAGCGUUAAUCGGAAUUACUGGGCGUAAAGCGCGCGUAGGUGGUUCAGCAAGUUGGAUGUGAAAUCCCCGGGCUCAACCUGGGAACUGCAUCCAAAACUACUGAGCUAGAGUACGGUAGAGGGUGGUGGAAUUUCCUGUGUAGCGGUGAAAUGCGUA
Molecule: ribosomal RNA, 619 nt
Filed under: uncultured Pseudomonas sp.
Lineage: Bacteria; Pseudomonadati; Pseudomonadota; Gammaproteobacteria; Pseudomonadales; Pseudomonadaceae
Description: bacterial SSU rRNA
Rfam family: Bacterial small subunit ribosomal RNA
Source: RNAcentral